AGAAAGAGAAAGAGAGAGAGAGAGAGAGAGGAACGUAUGUAUCUAGCCGGUGAUGGAAAGAGAGAGAGAAAUAAAGUGACAGAUCUAGUAGUGUUCAUUUUGUGCGUGUUCAUAGGGAUGUUACUUUGAGUUCUUGUGUAUCAUAAAAAGGGCGGAAGAAGAGAUUGGAAGAAAGAGAGAAAGAGAGACAAAAAGAGAUACACGCGUUAUUGUAGAAGCAGUCGUCGUUCUCGUUGCUGCCGUCAGACGCAGUCGUCGUCGUCGUCCUUCUCGUCGUCAUCAUCAUCGUCGUCGUCGUCGUCGUCGUUGUCGGUACUGUUUCUUGGCUGACGCAUGACAGUAGUGGCAGACGGAUCGUGCGCGGAAGCCGUGCGAGUACGACGCACCACUGCCACCUUCUUUCUUUCCUUUUUACUCGUCUUACUUUCUCUUUCCGGCGUUUACGUUUCUCUCUCUCUCUCUCCUCUUUGCACGUUAACGCAAAGCUUACUUUUAACAACGUGAGAGAAGCGUGUGCUACCGGUGGUGCUACUGCUACUGCUACUGCUGCUGCUGCUGCUGCUGUUACUUCAGUUGCUGCUCGUGUGUUUGGUGGUGUUAGUUAGUAGUGUUGGUGGUGGUGCUGUUGUUGUUGGUGGUGGUGGUGGUGGUGGUGGUGGUGGUGACGACUGUGAGGGUAACGGUGACGGUGGUUGUUGGUGGUAGUGUGCCAUUUCACCACCGUUGAUUAUUCGAUGAGAGGUGCUGGCUUGUGGUGAAGAAGGUGGUGAGAUCCUAGUAUAAGUCAUAAUAGUGUACUACGCUAUUAUACUACUAGAUUGGACACGUUGUCCAAUCCUCCCCGAGUAUCUAUUUAGCCUCAGGUGAAAGAAGAAGAAGAAGAAGAGGAGGAAGCUUACCUAAGAGAACACAUACACACUGAGAGAGAGAGAGAAAGAGACAGAGAAGAAGAGAGGGAGAGAGAGGGGGUGUGAGUGUGCGACCAGAGGAGAGGGAACGAGAGGUUCGACGGAGGAUAAAGGAUGCCUGUCCGUAAGCAAGGUGAAAUUCCAACCGCAAGGGAACUCAUCUUUGAAUCUUUGAUAAUCGUCGUACGAGAAAAUGUACCUUCGUAAGGCGAGAAGGCAGAGCAAGAGAGAGAGAGGAGAGAGGAGAGAGGAAGAGGGAAAGAGAGAGAUAGAUAGAAGCCAUACACCAACGACGGUGAUAGUUUUCAAUUUCGCGGUGCAGGCGCUUCGUAGGCAAAGUUGAGAAGAAGAGAGUCAAGGAUGGUUUAUGGCUCGACGAUUCGCUUGCUUUACCACCACUACUUUAUUUAUGCAUAUACACACACUUAUACACACAUUUAUAGGAUUCGUACAUAAGUGUACACGUGUGUCUAACAUCGUUUAUAUAAUAUUUUCUAUAUAGAGAUAUAUGUACAUCAAAUAUUAUCACAUAAAUUAAGGUCCAACAUAUAUAAUAUAUAUAUGAAGAAAAAUUUUUGAACUUCAAUAAAAAAAAACAAAAAUAACAAGACAAAUUCGCGAGGAAGGAUUUUUCUCGUGUGCAAUUAAUUAUAGACUCUCUCUUGUUUUAUAUUUGUUAUUUCUUUGUAAAUAAAAUUAAAUUUGACCACCGACCACACGUAGAUAUGUUAUUAAAUAAUUUUAUUUAAGAUCGUUCGUUCUUACGAGUUUGUUUGACA
This 1687-nucleotide long non-coding RNA is filed under the name Polistes fuscatus (common paper wasp). RNAcentral describes it as "uncharacterized LOC122521136". The record is from RNAcentral. Lineage: Eukaryota; Metazoa; Arthropoda; Insecta; Hymenoptera; Vespidae.